GUCCGUGCAGAAGCUUAUGUCGCCAAAUCCCAGUUUCUUGCUACUGUUUCACAUGAAAUCAGAACUCCCAUGAAUGGCAUCCUCGAUACGGAUUUAAGUUCAACACAGAGAAUAUGCUCAAACGGCUCAGGCUUGCGGAUGGGCUUUAAUCACUUUGAUCAAUGAAGUGCUUGAUCGGGCUAAGAUUGAAGACAGGAAGUUGGAACUAGAGGCGGUCCCGUUUGAUCUACGGUCCAUAUUAGAUGACGUACUCUCGUUAUUUUCUGAAAAGUCCCGAAAUAA
Helianthus annuus (common sunflower) is the source of this 282-nucleotide long non-coding RNA. RefSeq lists it as uncharacterized. The record is from RefSeq and is a predicted model, not a curated record. The transcript has 3 exons. Lineage: Eukaryota; Viridiplantae; Streptophyta; Magnoliopsida; Asterales; Asteraceae.